CUAACGAUGUGCCGGAAGCAGCGGUAAUACAGAGGGUGCGGGCGUUAAUCGGAAGUACUGGGCGUAAAGCGAGUGUAGGUAGCUCAUUGAGUCACAUGUGAAAUCCCCGGGCUUAACCUGGGAACUGCAUGUGAUACUGGUGGUGCUAGAAUAUGUGAGAGGGAAGUAGAAUUCCAGGUGUAGCGGUGAAAUGCGUAGAGAUCUGGAGGAAUACCGAUGGCGAAGGCAGCUUCCUGGCAUAAUAUUGACACUGAGAUUCGAAAGCGUGGGUAGCAAACAGGAUUAGAUACCCUUGUAGUC
This 300-nucleotide ribosomal RNA is filed under the name uncultured Lactobacillus sp. Its description in RNAcentral is "bacterial SSU rRNA". It matches the Rfam family "Bacterial small subunit ribosomal RNA", at positions 497 to 795 of the family's 1533-position model. Lineage: Bacteria; Bacillati; Bacillota; Bacilli; Lactobacillales; Lactobacillaceae. The record is from RNAcentral.